Long non-coding RNA from Equus caballus (horse), 2639 nucleotides. The record is from Ensembl. NCBI's taxonomy places the organism in Eukaryota, Metazoa, Chordata, Mammalia, Perissodactyla, Equidae.
AGGAAUAUUGCUGAAGAUAUUACUCACCACAGCAAGCAGUGUCUCCUUCAUGCAGGCCUAGGGGAGUAAUUUUUCUUUGGCCUCGGGGCCUAAGUUGAAUUUCUUCUGAGCAACUGGAACAUUUUGAUUCUAUGGGCAUUGGGGACAUUAUAAUUGGUUGUGAUUCCUCUUUUGAUUUGGCUGUGUAUCAACCGACAACGCUUUCAGCCACAAUUACUUAAAAUAUCUUAAGUAGCUUUUUUUUUUUCUUUGCACAUAGCAAGCAGCCUGAAGGUAAGUGACUGCUAGGAUUGCUUCAGCGUCUCAUCUGGUGACCAGUGUCUCUGAAUUUCCUUCAGACACAGGGUGGCUGCUGCAGCUUUGACUGUGGUUCUCAAACUUUGGUGUGUAUUGGAAUCAGCUGGAGAGCGGAAAGCACAGCCCAGGCUCCUUGAAGAACACAGCCCAGGCCUUUUAUAGGGUCACCACGUUCCUCAGGUGAUUCCAGUGUUGGCCAAACUUGAGAACCGCUGCUCUAGCGUCUGCCGCUCAAGACCAGAAGGGAGAAACAAGUCCAGCAGGGAAUGGAGCAUUGUGGAGGAAGCCUGUCUGCAAUCCUCCGAAGCAUGGAAUUAGAUCAUCAUUAUCUACUCAAAGAGCUCCUUGGCAUGGGAUAGCAGCCAGGCCUGAAAUUGCUUCGCCUGCCCCCGCAUCCUCCUUGAGUUUCUCCAACUGGUAUGUCACAUGUGCUUAGCUCCAUGAUGAAGGAUGCUGGUGUGUUCUGUGGAAUACUCUCAUCUUCACGUUUGGAAGCAUUGAGAACUGACGCAGGUUCCAGUCUGACCUUGUGGGUUCCAGCUGGUCCCUGCUUUUCCUCCCUCUCUGACCAUCUUGCCUUCAGACAGUUUGCCCUCUGGAUUUCAAGCUCUAGGAUCAGAUGCGAAGACAAUAGCCUUAAUGAGACUGCUUAAUUGCGUAAGUUCUCUUACAGAGAAACUAAUGUCCACAGAAUAUCAAGAAACCGAAGCUUCCCAGGGCCAACUCCUUGGCUUCCUGACGUCAGAGUGUACCCUCCACCAUGGAGAGAAACAGCCAAGGACACUCACCCAAGAAAUCCUUUGUCUCCUCUGGAAGCAGCCCCAGACACAGGCUGAUGGGAAAAUGCUGACCAAGAAGGCCACUGCCCUUGUCCCCUACCUAAAACCCCCAAUAAAAACUCCUACCCGUUUCUUAACAGGGAGAAAGCAACUUUUUUGGGGCACUGGGCUUUUGCUUUUCUCCCUCUGCCUGGCAAAGUAAAGCCUUUCCUUUUUCUCCCAAGACUCUCGUCUCGUUACUUGGAUUGGCUUUGAGAUCAGAGACUGAACUUUCGGUAACACUAUUUGGAAACCCAGCCCAAGGAGAUUCUGUUAUUUUCAAGAAGUGGUUCCUGAAAUCUCUCUGGGCAACAAAAUUCAGCCAGCAGAUGGAAGAAGUGAGCGGGUAGAAUAAGCUUAUCUACCUUAUGGCCGCCUUGGGUUAGAAGUGACAGUCACCAUUCUGCUUAUCUUCCAUUGCUGAGAACUAGUCCCACAGCACUACUUAGAAGCAAGUGAAAGUGCUGGGAAAUGGAGUCAGUGCUGGGGCAACCCAUUCCCAGCUGCGAUUGCAUUGUGGGAGGGGAGCACGAAUGUUUGGGAGAACAGCUGGCUAUCACUGCCACACGGAGGCUCCUGUUAAAAAUGUUGAUUAAAUCAGAACAACUCAACCAUCCUUGUUUUUUGUUGAAUUUCAGCCUGGCUCCUGGCCUGCUUAGGAAAAAAAAAAGAGAGUCAGUCUGUAGGGAACCAGAGAGGAGGAUCCGGCCAACUUCAGGGUGGCUUGUUCAAUUGUUUCCUGAGGCAAAUGGAAGGCAGCGCAGCUUGCAGCCACUUUAAAAGGCGAUCUGGCCCUUGGGGAUCAAGCUACAAUGGAAAUAUCCAUUUGAAAAUUCUGCACUAACUGCCAACACCAUUAACAUCCCAGUUCCAUCUGAAUGUGUCUGCAAGGUCUCUGGCCAACUCUGGAUGCAACAGCUUCACCACAGUUUGAUCCCUUUGGCUGCUGCAGCCACGGACACUCGUCUGGGGGGAGCAGUUAUGCCCCAGCAUUUGGUGCACCUUCUGGGAUAGAUUGGCUGUCUGGGCUUACAGGCCUGUCUCCUUCUUUCCCUCCAGAUUUGACAGUCUUUGUGCAGAACUUGAAGUCAACUUCUACUUGAAAUCCCAUUCUGUAUUCUUCAAUUAUGUUUUAUAUUAAGUAUUUUCAGUUCUCUAUAUAAAUGUUAUUGUAGAUUUGCAAUUUAGAAAGAAAUCAACAACUAAUUAGAACUCACAUAUGUUUCUGUUUUUCCUCCAUUUAAUCGUUUGUAUGUAAAAUUGUUUUUCAUUUUUUUCCUGAUCUGAUUUCCUAUUUUGGCGUUUCCCCCUUAUGUUUUUUUCAUGGACUGGGAUUUUGUGAUCUAAUACAAAUCAUGGAAUUAUCAUAGAGGCAAAAUUUAUUGAGGGCUGUAUGUAAUUCAAGCUGUACAUCUGCUGAAAAUCUCUUUCUGCUAAAAAUAGCACACGUGAUAAAUUCUUCACUUACUUUAUUAACAGUUUUCUCUCUCCUAAGAAAGAAGAAGCAACCAGAACUACCAUUUU